GUUUAGGGUGGUGUUGAAGCAUUGGAAGCUUAGAAACUCUCCCCUAGUGAUUCUGUUGUGCAACCAGGAUAGAAAACCACUGGCUUGGUCCAUACUCCUCGUCAUCUACGGCUUUAGGACCACACAAUUGGAAAUCGUCCCUCUUGGAAUUUGAAAUGAUGAUUAAGAACCUCUUCAUUGCUAAAAUACCGUGAUUCUAUCCUAACCAUGCUGAUUUGAAUCACCCAAGUCACAUAAUGAAAAGAAACCAGACUCUACCUAAAAGAAAUCAAGGGUAAGGGACAUAAUAGAUUUUAAAAUACCUCUCAGUGUGCCUUAUUUCUGUGCAUGUCAAUACAGUUUCUUUCCCUCCCUCCCUUCUCCCGGGAUUGCUCCAGGAAACGGGAGGACAUCAGCGCCUAGAGAGGAAACAUCACAGGCAGUUGCUGUCAGACAAAAGGGGUGGUUUGAAUCAUGUUUUAUGUUACUUGCACCAAGAAGAAUCCUCUAUCAUACAGUUGAGUGUUCAAUCAAAUGGCUGCCUGGCAUAUAUGCCUCCUUCAUUUCUGGCAGAGAAAAUGAAAAGCAAACUCCAACCCAGGGUCCUCUCAGGUUGACAGAGAUGAAGAUUUGGGGCACUGAGGGAGUAACAAGUGACACAUUGUAGGAGGCCAGGAAAUGUUCCUCUUCGAGCUUCAUCCUAACCCAACUCUUCUGAGCUAGGAGCACACAGAGCUCUCUGAGGUCUGAUUCUCCCACGCCUGGUUAAAUGGGAUAGAACUUCCCAUGUCCACAAAGAGCUGCAGGAGCUACCUGGUUAACAAAACCUUCAAAUCCUUUUUUUAAAGAAGUGUGGACCAAAUAAAGGACGUAGUGGGCUAAACCCGGGCUGUUCUCUCUUGACUUCCAGAACAGGGACCAACCGUGUUCCACCUGCACUCUCUCCUUCUUGCUCAAAUUUCCCCACUUGCCAAGAGAAAGUACCAACUCCAAGGCUGACUUUGUUGACAAGGGCAAGAGGUCGUGACCAAGGUGGGAACACUGAACACAAGCAGGGGGCAGUUUUCCAGAUCAGA
Long non-coding RNA from Pan paniscus (pygmy chimpanzee), 1055 nucleotides. Lineage: Eukaryota; Metazoa; Chordata; Mammalia; Primates; Hominidae. The record is from Ensembl.